Molecule: long non-coding RNA, 529 nt
Organism: Pezoporus flaviventris
Lineage: Eukaryota; Metazoa; Chordata; Aves; Psittaciformes; Psittacidae
Exons: 3
Source: RefSeq, a predicted model, not a curated record
GUCAAACUACAAUGUGGAGGCAUGGAAGGGCCCAGGCAUGCACUGCCGUGGAAGAAUAGAACAGGAGACGGCACGGCAGCUUGUGGCGUUAUGAAAGCCAGGCUAUAAGCUGUCUGUGGCAGGCACCCAUUUUUCAUUAUUUGUGCAGGUACUGCCAAGACCGCAGGCUGUUUCCAGAACCCCCAGGUAUGUGCUGAGGCCAGGCAGGAGGGACCCACCAUGAACAGGAGUCAAUUCCCUGGGGGAGAAAAAGAAUUUUGAAGGAACAAAAAGGACUGCCAACCAAGACCUUGCCCGUCCUGGGGAGCAGGCGCAGGCACUCGUCAGCUGUUUGGGGGCAUGGCUGUGAGAGAGAACAGCAGGAGAGCUAGCUCCAACAGCAAUGUCCAUGUACUGCUGGUGUCCAGGGAAGAGCCCCAGCAAGGUCCCCUCCACCUUCCACUAGGCUCACAGCAGAACCAGAGACUUCUCUGUGUGUGAAUGAGUCCACGUUUUUUCAGGUGGACUGAAGUGAUUUGUGGUCCUGGGG